Molecule: RNase P RNA, 396 nt
Filed under: Algoriphagus boritolerans DSM 17298 = JCM 18970
Lineage: Bacteria; Pseudomonadati; Bacteroidota; Cytophagia; Cytophagales; Cyclobacteriaceae
Description: Bacterial RNase P class A
Rfam family: Bacterial RNase P class A
About the family: Ribonuclease P (RNase P) is a ubiquitous endoribonuclease, found in archaea, bacteria and eukarya as well as chloroplasts and mitochondria. Its best characterised activity is the generation of mature 5'-ends of tRNAs by cleaving the 5'-leader elements of precursor-tRNAs.
Source: RNAcentral
UGUGCAAGUCAACUUGUCGCCCCGAUAGGUAUCGGGGAGGAAAGUCCGGGCAACAUAGAGCGCCAUACUUCCUAACGGGAAGGAUUUCUGUUGGUGACGACAGAAAGACAGCUAGUGCCACAGAAACAAACCGUCCCGAUAGCUAUCGGGAUAAGGGUGAAAAGGUGGGGUAAGAGCCCACCGUCCGAAUGGUGACAUUCGGGGCUAGGCAAACCUUAUGGGUUGAAAGAUCAAAUAGGCCCCGGGCAAAGAGCUGCUCGUUCGAUUUCUGCUUCGGCGGGAUUCCGGGGUGGGUAGAUCGAUGGACCCCGAUCGCGAGGUCGGGGCUAGAUAAAUGACAGGUAUCACUCAAUUCGUUGAGUGAAACAGAACCCGGCUUACAGACUUGCACUUUUU